Molecule: ribosomal RNA, 511 nt
Filed under: uncultured bacterium
Lineage: Bacteria
Description: partial 16S ribosomal RNA
Rfam family: Bacterial small subunit ribosomal RNA
Source: RNAcentral
AUUGAACGCUGGCGGCAUGCCUAACACAUGCAAGUCGAACGGCAGCACAAUAAAGAUUUCGGUCUUUAUGGGUGGCGAGUGGCGGACGGGUGAGUAACGCGUAGGAAUCUGUCCUGGAGAGUGGGAUAACCCGAGGAGACUCGGGCUAAUACUGCAUGACAUUGAGAGAUCAAAAGCAGGGGACCGAAAGGCCUUGCGCUCUGGGGUGAGCCUACGUCGGAUUAGCUAGUUGGUGGGGUAAAGGCCUACCAAGGCGACGAUCCGUAGCUGGUCUGAGAGGAUGACCAGCCACACUGGGACUGAGACACGGCCCAGACUCCUACGGGAGGCAGCAGUGGGGAAUCUUGGACAAUGGGGGAAACCCUGAUCCAGCGAUGCCGCGUGUGUGAAGAAGGCCUUCGGGUUGUAAAGCACUUUAGGUGGGGAAGAAAGGUAGCGAGUGAAUAACUUUCUGCUGUGACGGUACCCACAGAGUAAGCACCGGCUAACUCUGUGCCAGCAGCCGCCGUAA